RNAcentral lists this transfer RNA (19 nucleotides) under Hooveria parviflora. RNAcentral describes it as "Chlorogalum parviflorum partial tRNA-Met". The record is from RNAcentral. Lineage: Eukaryota; Viridiplantae; Streptophyta; Magnoliopsida; Asparagales; Asparagaceae.
UUGCGGAGACAGGAUUUGA